UACGGAGGGCGCGAGCGUUAAUCGGAAUUACUGGGCGUAAAGCGCGCGUAGGCUGUUGUGUAAGUUGGGGGUGAAAUCCCACGGCUCAACCGUGGAACAGCCCUUGAUACUGCGCGACUUGAAUCCGGGAGAGGGUGGCGGAAUUCCAGGUGUAGGAGUGAAAUCCGUAGAUAUCUGGAGGAACAUCAGUGGCGAAGGCGGCCACCUGGACCGGUAUUGACGCUGAGGCGCGAAAGCGUGGGGAGCAAACAGGAUUAGAAACCCGAGUAGUCCCGUAGCCAGAUACCCUUGUAGUCCACA
RNAcentral lists this ribosomal RNA (300 nucleotides) under uncultured bacterium. RNAcentral's name for it is "bacterial SSU rRNA". It matches the Rfam family "Bacterial small subunit ribosomal RNA", at positions 524 to 828 of the family's 1533-position model. The record is from RNAcentral.